AGUGAACGCUGGCGGCAUGCCUAACACAUGCAAGUCGAACGGCAACACAGUAAGAGCUUGCUCUUACGGGUGGCGAGGGACGGACGGGUGAGGAAUACAUCGGAUUCCUCUUUUUCGGGGGGGAUAACGUAGGGACACUUACGCUACCACCGCAUAUGUCGUACUGCUUGAAUCAGGGGAUCUUCGGACUUUGUGUGACUGUAUGAGCCGAGGUCGGAUUAGAUAGUUGGCGGGGUAAAGGCACACCAAGGCGACGAACCGUAGCUGCUCUGAGAGGAUGAUCAGCCACACUGGAACUGAGACACGGUCCAGACUCCUACGGGAGGCAGCAGUGGGGAAUCUUGGACAAUGGGGGCAAGCCGGAUGCAGCCACACCGCGUGGGUGAAGAAGGCCUUCGGAUUGUAAAGCCCUUUUGUUGGGAAAGAAAAACAGUAGGUUUAUACCCCGCUGUUCUGACGGUACCCAAAGAAUAAGCACCGGCUAACUUCGUG
This 492-nucleotide ribosomal RNA is filed under the name uncultured bacterium. Its description in RNAcentral is "partial 16S ribosomal RNA". It matches the Rfam family "Bacterial small subunit ribosomal RNA", at positions 29 to 507 of the family's 1533-position model. The record is from RNAcentral.